UUUUAACCUUUUUUACACCACUAAAUAUACUAAAGUUUUAAAAUUUAUUCAAAUAAGGUACAGCCUAUUUGAAAUAGGAUACAACCUAUUUACUAGGGUAAUGGUCCGCCUGUGUGACUAAGUGGGCCUAAAAGCAGCCACCUUAUAAAAAGCGUCACAGCUUUAUCGCAUGCAAUCAUUAAUUUAUACCUCAACCCAAAACCCCCCUCUACUACUGAACGACUCCAUACCCAUAUGGAAGACCUAAUGUUAGAACUAGUAAUAAGAAUUUAUUCUCUACAAAGCAUGCUUAAGCCAGAAUGAACUACUCACUGGCACUCACCGCCAAUGAAUAAAUAGUAGUAACCUCACAAGAAAACCCUACUCACUCAAACGUUAAUAAUACACCAAAGCUUUUUUAGAAAGAUUAAAAAAGGAGG
This 419-nucleotide ribosomal RNA is filed under the name Choerophryne proboscidea. RNAcentral's name for it is "partial 16S ribosomal RNA". The record is from RNAcentral. Lineage: Eukaryota; Metazoa; Chordata; Amphibia; Anura; Microhylidae.